AUCAUUACAAUUUCAACUUGAAGUCAAGAGGGAAUUAAACUAACUAUGUAAUAACAUACUUUAAUUAUUGUUCUAAACACAGAACACCUGCAUGCACUCUUUUGUAUUGCAUAUACACAUACUAAGAAGGUAGACAAACACAGAAAAGAUAGAUAUGCCCCCAAGUUCUAUGUAUGCAAAGUUCCUAGGAAUAAAGAGCAUUUUAAACUUAACCCUUUUACAUAACAUUAGCUGCUGGUAGCACUGCAGUCUUCUUCAUUUAUGAAAAGGCAAGUGCCCACAAAACCAGUUCAAGCUAAUGAGACAGGAUGUCUUGCCCUAGGAAGAGGAGAGGCCCACGCUCAACCUCUGUUUUGUUCCUAAGGGAGCACAGAGAUUAGGGCACCGUUUUUCUCAGUUCUCUUCAACUCUUACCAAUCCUACCCAACAAAAUCCUAUUAACUCUAGAGCUAGCUGUGCAGUACCAGCCACAUUUGAAAUACACACAGGCAAAGACUUAGCUGGCCCACAGUGAUGGCAACAAAUGACUGACCAAACAUUCGUACAGUUCCAAACAAGAUGCAUGAUUUUCCUCCAGCUGUAUUUGCUCUGAGCUCAGAUCUAGCCAUAGGCCUCUUCACUGAAGGGCAGAAACGUCUAGGUUUUAUUGUGUAGCUGACAUAGCAAUACAUCAGGUCACUUUGAACUUCUAUUUGAUUGUAGAUUUCCUCACAGACAGUGAGGGAAGUUUCAGGAAUUCUGGAAGACGACAUAACAUGCUUGUGCUGUCCUUCAUUUCAGCACCAAACUGAACACCAGCUCAAAUUUCAAUUUCUACGCAUGCUAAAAAGGCUGGCUGAGAACGUGAAACACCUUGAUUUCAACACCAUAGAGCCCACACUUGCACAAACCAACACAGAGGAAAAACAAGUGAAGGAGUGAGACUACACAGAAAGGGAGUUGGAACGUCUUCAAACAGCCCAAAGCCAGAGCUACAAAGCCCCCGUCAUGUUGUGAUGAACGAAACAUACACCAUUUCUACCUCAACCUCUUCUCCACCUCACAUUCUCUAGCAAAAGGCCUCUGGACAAACAAAGGCAAUGAAAACACUCCAACUUGGCAAUGAGAACACAGAGCAUCUGUGCAGAGAAAUUAAUAGUUUGUACAAAUUUAUUCACCAUCUAAUUCAAGCAAAACCCCAACCUCUGCAUAGGGGUGGUUAAUGUGAGGUGCACAAGCAUCAGAACAGAGGGUCCCUGGUAGCGCAGGAAGUUUUAAGUGUCUGUAGUGGAGCGGUUUCCUUUCCAGAAUGAAACACAAAUGAGCAGUUUCCCCGCCUGGACGGUUCCUAGCAGUAAUUUUCAAGAUAAAGAUCCUGCAGGCUGCCCACCUCGACAGACUGCUGCGGGCCAUCCCAUUUACUGGCCACCAGGUGCCCAACACGAUCUGUGGGUACCAGGGCCAGGAUAACUCACCAGAAUAACCCUGAUAUCACCAUGAUAACUUAUCUCCCUGCCCAGCUGGGGCACCUCACCAUCAAUCCCCACACCUCAGCACUCCACCACCUGCCCCACUCAGAAUGGCUACACGCAGCAGCUGUGCUGCCCCAGGGGCCACCUACGUGUCCCGGGGGGCCCUACCUGCCCGGGGGGGGGUCCCUAUCCAACCCUGAGGCAGGGGGCA
Cygnus olor (mute swan) is the source of this 1662-nucleotide long non-coding RNA. RefSeq lists it as uncharacterized. NCBI's taxonomy places the organism in Eukaryota, Metazoa, Chordata, Aves, Anseriformes, Anatidae. The record is from RefSeq and is a predicted model, not a curated record. The transcript is spliced from 4 exons.